This 2690-nucleotide long non-coding RNA is filed under the name Homo sapiens (human). RNAcentral's name for it is "HSALNT0286780". Lineage: Eukaryota; Metazoa; Chordata; Mammalia; Primates; Hominidae. The record is from RNAcentral.
CCGCGGCCGAGCGACCCCCGCUGAUUGGGCAGCCGCCGGGUGCCUGGCAGGUGAGGCGGCGGCUGCCGGGCGGCCGCGAGUGGGCUCCACCGGGCUUGAGUGGCUGCGGGGAACUGGGGCCAGGCUCCAGCCGGCAAACGGCGGGACGCCGCCGGGACUCUCGCGGGCUUUCCCCCACCCCUCGCGGGCUCUUUGCCCCGCGAGGAUCGGUCCCACUGCUGCGCCGAUGGAGGAGACGCGGCGCUCAACGUCCAGUCCUGCUUGGGCCCCCGCUGCCUCACCACCUUGAGAACAUGUCCCCUCUGUAGCUGCAGGGCGCAGAUCCUGGGGAGAGCGCAGCAGUUUCGCGCUCCCGGUCCAGCCGCUGCGUCCACCUCCAAUCACUGCGAGUUCUGAUGGCCUCGAGGCCGGGACCCAGGCCGGGAUAGUUCGCCGUUUGUGCCCCCAACCUGUCGGCAGCUGUCCGAGACCCAAAGGAGAAGAAACGAUUACAAUUAGAGCUGAUCUCCGUUACUUCCGUCUGCGCCAAGCGUUGACCCUUUAGUUUGUGAGCAGCGGCCGUACUCGCCGCUGCCCACUUCCCGAAUUACACACCGGGCACGACACAGCAAACAUAUACAACGCAGUAAACCCAAGCACACAGUAGGAAACAAGCACACAACACAGUAAACACAAGCGCACCACAGGAAACAAACACGACAUAUGAAAUACGCACACAACACAACAAAGUAAGCACAUACAACACAGUAACAUAAACUACGCACAACACAGCAAACACAGAAACACAACUAAACACAACAGAGCAAAUACACAUAACAGCGAGCAUACCCACAAAUACAAAACAUGCAAAGAACACUUUUAGCCAGUGUACGCAAAACAUGCACACAACACACUAAACACAUAAUAAACACACUAGACACACACAGUAUCAGGGUGGUUUCCAAAUCACUAGGCUAAUCAGCUUUGAAUUCUCAACAUUUUCAAAUGCAAAAGUCGUGUUGGGGGUUGCUGAUGCUGAAUGGGGACUGUGACAUGGAAUUUUCUUUCCUCUGAACAGCCAAGGCUUUACUCUCUUCUACUCCUACCCGGAGAAGGUAAAGCAUGUAGUGACCUCAGGGACUGCUUACCCCUUAAGGAUUUACUUCCAGGGGUGUGUGUGAAAGUCCUCUCGCCUUCUGUCUGUUGCAAGGUCUUUCUGACAUAAUGACCAGGUUCAGACAAGGCUAUAAAUUCACUCAUUUUUGUGUCCUGCAAGGCAUUUGCAAAGAAUGCAGAAGAGAGUGGAAAGAAAAGGCAGAGAGAAAGAUGGCUGUGAUUGUCACAUCCCUAGCUGGGCCAAGCCCCAAAGUCUGCGCCUUGAGGCAGCCUCACAGCCUGGCCGCCAUCUCUCUGUAGGAAAUAGAACAUCUGAUCAAGUUCAGAGGCGCCAGGAGAGACCGCCUUAAGCAGCGCUUUAUAACUGCAGCCUUUCACUUCCUGCUCCCCAGUCUGCCUGGCCCAGCCAACACUUCACCUUCUUUCUUAGCCAGUUUGCUGGGAGAACACCCUACCGGUAGCACAUCUUACCGUAUUCACCCCCUCCCAUCAAACUCGCCCCAAUUCUCUCUCCACAUCCAGAGCUCUCUCCCCAGGUUGGAAGCUGAAGAAAUAUAACAGAAGAAAUGUAGUUGAAGCCCGUGUGUACUCCGCCAUGAUCACAUUGAUCUCCUUUCCCCCUACACCACAGAGGAGACGAUACUUGGGACCCAAGCAAACCAAGCCUCAGGAGCCACUUCAUGGGAAACUGCAAAAGCCUCUGCAAAGAUGACAGGCAUUCUGCCCAGAGGUCUACAUCACAGUUGGUUCUUGAAACUUCCUUUUAUAUUUUCCUUAGCUCUUUCAAUGGAGCUGGGUUUCCCACACGGGGAGUAUCCUGUGGUGGCUAAAUGUAGGGAUCCAACGUGAAGGAACAGCUCCUCUCACGAACACUGUUGGUCUCCUGGAUGGAGAAGGAAUGUGGUGAACCCUGAGCUGACUCUCAGGGCCUUUGUUCAGAACAUUUUACUUCUGCUCAUAUGUCAUAGGACAAAGCAAAUUACAUGGCUGAGCUGGAUGCAAAUGGGGAGGGGAAGAGGACUCUUCCCACAGGGAGGGGCAUAAGUCACACAGCCAAGGCUGAUGUCAACAGGGCAGGGAUGUAUAAUCCUCCCACAGGGAGGAGUAGCUAAUAUUUUUAACAAUAUUAUAAUCCACCACAGUGACCUCGAGCAUGUCACUUGACCUCUUUGUGCCUUGGUUUUCUCAUUGUUAAAAUGGAAAUAAUAAUAGAACUUACCUCAUAGGGUUGAUAUGAGGAUUCAAACGACUUAAUUCUAGUAGAGCAUUUAAAAUCCUGCCUAGUACAUAAUAAAUGCUAGAUAAGUGGUUGUUAAAUAAAAAUAAAUAAAAUGUUUGUCCAUACAAUUGUUUCCUCUUGCUAUGGUGAAAAUCGUGUAUCCCAUGCUUUAUUAUUACAUGCCUAGAAAUGAAGAUACUUUGCCUACAGGCAUUUAAAAACAAGACAUUUCUAUUUUUAAAAGCCUGUGGCUUUAAAAUUAAGGUUUCCAAAGUUGUGUCAUUGCUUAAACUUCUUGAAAGAUGUCCCUAUCAUGGCUUGCAGUCUGAUUAGUUCUUUCUGGAAAAGAGAAGAGAUUCUGUUUGGUAGGAAUAGG